This is an RNA transcript of Daphnia magna, 1475 nucleotides long. RefSeq lists it as uncharacterized. Lineage: Eukaryota; Metazoa; Arthropoda; Branchiopoda; Diplostraca; Daphniidae. The transcript has 6 exons. The record is from RefSeq and is a predicted model, not a curated record.
GUUAAAAGCAUGAUUUCAAAUCGGAAGAACUCUGGCUAUUGAAAGAUUGUAGUCGUGGCUCGAACGCCAACCUGGUUGUUGUUCCGUGCUCCUCUUUCAGCAAUUUAUAAGAGAUUAUGUGUGAAGUUCAUUGAUAUUCAAAUUGUCGCCUAUUUUAUCUUGUUCAAUAAUGAUGACGUUCAUUAGUUUCAGAGGAAUCCGAAUUUUUGUGGCUCGUCGGAAAUCAUCUAUUUUGCUAUGCAUUGGACUAUUUUUCUUUUUCUUUUUGAUCCACGAAAAUACAAGCGGAAAAUCAUCAAACACUAAAACAACCAAGUACAAUUUACUGGAAGAGACUAAACAGUCUCAGCACGUUAAGGAAUGCACUCUAGAAUAUGCCAACACCCAUCGGUUGCAGCAAGACCAUCCAUGUGUACUGGACCUUAUUCGAAAGAGGUAUCUGAAAAAGCCUUGGGGACCAGAAAUCCCACUAGAUUUACACAAUCCACAAACAGCCGAUCCAUCUGCUGGCCAAGCCAAAGCAGUUAUGAGAAUAUUACGCAACCAAAAGAAUGGCUUCUUUGUGGAAUGUGGUGCCUCCGAUGGGGAAUUCUUGUCCAAUACGCUUUACAUGGAACGAUACAAAAAUUGGACAGGACUCUUGAUCGAACCGGACCGUGGAUCUUACGAUUCUCCUGUUGACCCGUAAAAGAAAAGCAACGCAUGUUCCUGCUUGUCUCAGUUUGGAAACUUACCCCACUGAAGUCUCUUUCAAAUCGGUUUUCCAAGUCGGAAGCAUCCAAGAAAAGUCUUCCUGGUUUGGAAACGAUCAACUGAUAACCGUACAAUGUUUUCCGUUCUAUUCGUUUCUUCUGGCCUACGGGCGGACUUCUGUGGAUUUUUUCAGCCUCGAUAUCGAAGGCCAUGAGCUUAAAGUACUCAAAACGAUCCCGUGGCACAAGGUCGAUAUUAAGACGAUAGUGGUUGAGUGGGAACACGUAGACGAAGGUGAGGAAGCUAUAGUGAAAUUCAUGGAAGAAAGCGGAUUUGUCAAUUUUGGCAAAAUUGCAACACCCUAUGCUCGUGAUAUUGUUUUCGUCAAAGACUUCCUGAGCGAUUUGCGAUACGACUAUGACGACUGAGUAUUACGCAACCGAAUGUUAUGUUUGGGCAACAGUUGGACGCGAAUACAAAUUGGAAUUACUGCCAACUAUUUGUAAAGUUCAUUAACGCCGUUCCGAAUGCCACCUCGUCCUUCUUUAGAGCUAAUUUCCCCCUUUAAAAAACUAUAUGGUCGUAUAUUGUAGAUGUCUUUGAACACUUAAAUUCCAUCGCAUCGAUGGUUCAGUGGUAGAAUGCUCGCCUGCCAAACAGUUAAGCAGAACGCGGGCGGCCCGGGUUCGAUUCCCGGUCGAUGCAUAAUAUUUUUCCCCUUGCCUGUUUUGUAUGAAUAAAAUCCCAUUUGAUGCUCGUAAAUAAAUUUUUACUGGGAAUAU